UACGUAGGGUGCAAGCGUUGUCCGGAAUUAUUGGGCGUAAAGAGCUCGUAGGCGGUCUGUCGCGUCGGCUGUGAAAACUCGGGGCUCAACCCCGAGCCUGCAGUCGAUACGGGCAGACUAGAGUGCUGUAGGGGAGACUGGAAUUCCUGGUGUAGCGGUGAAAUGCGCAGAUAUCAGGAGGAACACCGGUGGCGAAGGCGGGUCUCUGGGCCGAUAUCGACGCUGAGGAGCGAAAGCGUGGGGGAGCGAACAGG
Molecule: ribosomal RNA, 254 nt
Filed under: uncultured bacterium
Lineage: Bacteria
Description: partial 16S ribosomal RNA
Rfam family: Bacterial small subunit ribosomal RNA
Source: RNAcentral